Long non-coding RNA from Pseudophryne corroboree (corroboree frog), 450 nucleotides. RefSeq lists it as uncharacterized. Lineage: Eukaryota; Metazoa; Chordata; Amphibia; Anura; Myobatrachidae. The record is from RefSeq and is a predicted model, not a curated record. The transcript has 3 exons.
UACCUGUCACCAGAAUGGAGCACGCACCAUUGGCUCCAGACUUCCCACCUUGUCACCACUGGGUAUGAGAAUCAGCAGUGACCUCUGUGAGGAACAUUGAGGGUGGGGAUUGGCUGACGCUGUCCGACUUGAGGAGGAAAAUCCAGUCUGGAUGGUGUAGUACUGCCCAUAGGAGAAGUAGACAGGGGUUCAGCCAAGCGGAGAGACGAAGCACAGCCCCCAGGAGGAGUCUAGAGAUAGGCAGCUGUGACAGGAGACAGAGGAGACAGCACAAAUCUUACUGACAGAGGACCAGUUGGGCUCAUAUUCCUGAUAUGAGCUAGACUACGAAAGAGACCAGGACACCGGUUAAGACUUCCUGCAACAUCUGCCGGAUAAUCAUGAAGAAAAUUGGGAAGUGCACAGGGCAGUGAGACAGACCUACUGAGUAUCCAGUGAGCGGAGCAUAGU